This is an RNA transcript of Anopheles aquasalis, 3019 nucleotides long. It is a transcript of the gene named BTB/POZ domain-containing protein 2-like, with no coding region annotated. NCBI's taxonomy places the organism in Eukaryota, Metazoa, Arthropoda, Insecta, Diptera, Culicidae. The record is from RefSeq and is a predicted model, not a curated record.
CUUUCAAGUUUUUAUCUUUUUCGAGCACUACAUCAACAAACUUCACACCCGUUGUUGUUUUCGAUGGAAAAGUGAACCCGUAAAGUGCUAGAGGCUUGAAGAACCGCAGCACGCCAUGAUCCACAAAACGACGGGCUCAAACAGCGAAUCCUUUUACUACACUGCGGAACCCCAUCAACCGACUCGCAAUCAACUGUAGAGCACAGAUUCUGCGGCCAAGAUCCGGGUGUCGCGAUAGCAAGCUAUCGGAAACCGCUCCGUUACCAAAUGGACCGAAAAGAUGGACCAAAUGGACCUCAUCGGACAAGCUCACGUCCUGUACAUACGGAUCCGUGUAGGAUCAAAUAUCUUCCAUCAAACUAGAUAGAUUCGAAUAACUUUUACGGCGCCCAGACAUCACGUCUAGUCUCCUAGAUGACCAUAUCUAACAGGGUUAGAGCGCUACAAAUUAUUUGCCUCUAACAAUAUUGGGCAAAUUUUGACAUGCCUCUUGGAUAUUAUGUGGAGCUAGUAAACAUUUUCCCCGAUUGACCCUGGCCAGUUUUAUAUGUUAGCGGCUGCGGCGUUGUUGGAAAAGAAGCGAAUAGCAUUGAAACAAAAUAUUUCACAGCCGACGGCAGAUAGUGACAGAGAAGAACAAGAAAUCGGCAAGCGAUAUGGACCCUUCGAAGACAAACGCUAGUAGCUCAGCAGUGGCAGCAGUAGGCACAGCAGCAUCAACGGGCCCAACAGACGCCACCAGUGCCGCACAAAAGCAUCGUUCGCUCGCUAUGUUUACGGCAGACAAUACUAUGCAAGAGCGGCGCUCACAGCUACUUAACAAUCCGUUACUAUCCGACGUAAAGUUCUUAGUCGGCGAGUCGCGGACGCCUAUCUACGGCCACAAGGUAAUGCUGGCCACUGCGUCGGAGUACUUUUAUGUGCUCCUGUGCGGUGACUUUGCUGAAUCGCAGAAGCGCGAGAUACCGCUGGAGCAGGUGGAUCCGGAAGAAUUUCUCCAGCUGCUCCGGUUCAUCUAUUGUGACGAGUUUGAGAUUACGUUCGAAAACCUACAGACCCUGUACGAUCUAUCGCGUCGGUUCAUGGUGACGGACCUGCAAGUUGCUCUGCGGAAGUUCUUGGAAGACCAGAUCUGCCAGAAAAAUGCCCUGGAAAUCAUGCAGAUAAACCGCCUGUUAGCUUUCAGCUCAAUCGACGAGACCUGCCUACGCAUGAUUAGCAACAAUCCGUUGUUUUUCUUUAAUAAUGAAGACUUCACCAUGAUCGACAAGGAAAUGCUGGUGACGAUUUUCCGUUGCCAGCGCAUCAAUUGCACUGACGAUCAGCUGGCGAGUGCGCUCGACGUAUGGUUGCAGCACAAUACCACUGCGGAAGAGGAUGCCCGGCAGCUGCAUGAUCUGAUACAAACCGGCAAGCGCAGCUUCGACUGCCUCAAGCUGCACCUGUUCGGUAACAGGCAAGUUUUGCCAGGCGAAGAUGUAGGCGACUUUAUCUUCACAAUCGACUCGGACACUCACAUCUCGCUGUACGGCAUUGGGGUGUAUGUGCAGUCCAAUGCGGCAGUGGUGAACUUUGACGUGAAGGUGUACGAAUUCCAAACGGAAAUCGGUAAUGACCAAUAUGAAUACGAAAAUAAGCAAUGCGGCGUGGUGAAUGUGGCGGAUCUGUUUUUCGAGGAGCUCCGCAUGGUGCCGCGCAUCAAGUACCGAAUUUCGGUAGAUGUGGCGCCACCGUUGUACAAUCAAGCGUUUGUGUUGCAAUAUCCGUGCACACACCAUACCUCCAUCAAGCUGAGCAUCAGCGGACCACUCAGCGGUAUCGAUCCGGUUGGGCUUGCAUAUCUCUACUGCAAAGAGCAUCCCUAUAAUGAAUGAACAUAAGUGAGCAUACGUUUUUUUUUAAACCAAACCAAACAAAUCUCACCUUAGCAAUAAAACAUAACCGAUGCCAGUAUUAAUGCUGGAUUUUGACAUUACACAAAACGGGUUUGGUACGGUGGCCGCUUGUGGUUUUUAAUUUUUUCUGAGGAUCCUAUUUGCAGCUCUCCGAUACCGAUACUAUCUGGACAUAGUGAAGGGAAGGUUUCGCCACACUGUUCCGGAUGCCGCAUGCGCGCCUACUUUACCAGUGCACCGGAGCUAAUACAUGGCCGCUUCAUCGGGCAUAGCGUUCCCGUCUCACACGAUGCCACCUGCCUUGACCUCCUGAACUCCUGUUACCGGAUUGCCGGAUGCCGGGAUGGUGAUUUUAAAGAGAGAAGCGACGUUGUUCAGGGAAAUAGAAAAGAAUCAUCUAAACCAAAUCGUUUCUAUGGCAAGAAUGGUACAGCUAAACCGAAGGAAAUGGAAACAUUAGAGAAGGCUAUAGAUGAGGCAAAAUCGCUCGUAUUUGGGGCUCUAUUUGGGUGCGUAAAUGCGGCUCGAAAUUCGGCCUCGGCCGGACCAACGUAUAUCUUGUUUUCCAAGUUGAAGCGGCACACUUUACAAUGCCUUGGUUUUGCAUUGUUAGGUGGAAAUCGCUUAUUUCGGAAUCCUUUUUUUUGCGAAUAUAAAUUCUCCGGAUGUUGAGAAUCAUUUGCCUGAAAUUCAUAUCCUAUCAUUAUUCCUCCUAAGGCGGUGCAAUCUGAUUGAGCACCGCGAGUGGUUACACGGGUGAUCCUCGAAGGUGGCGAGAACAGCGAAAAGAGCUAGAGAAAAAAAAACAAAAGUCAAGGUUCGCGCAGAGCGAGAAAGAAACAAAAAUCCGCCUAAGGAGAAAGGGAGACAACUCUUGCAACACUUCGUGAGUAGCAAAAGUCCACGAGGAUUCCCGCUCAAUUGAUCCUUCAUCCACAUUGCAGGGCAAGUUUUAUAUUGCAGGGCUGUGUGCAUGGUUCAGGUUCAGAAGCAGAAAACAUCCCUGAUUGUUCCUGGUCAGUUUUAUAUGUUUGUGGUUGCGGCGUUGUUGGAAAGGAAGCGAAUAGCGGGCAAGCAGCAUUGAAACAAAAUAUUUUACAGCCGACGGCAGAUAGUGACAGAGA